RNAcentral lists this ribosomal RNA (460 nucleotides) under uncultured bacterium. RNAcentral's name for it is "partial 16S ribosomal RNA". It matches the Rfam family "Bacterial small subunit ribosomal RNA", at positions 338 to 795 of the family's 1533-position model. The record is from RNAcentral.
CCUACGGGUGGCAGCAGUGAGGAAUAGUGGUCAAUGGACGCAAGUCGGAACCAGCCAGGCCGCGUGCAGGAAGACGGCGCGAUGAGGUGUAAACUGCUGUUGUACGAGGGUAAACGCAGAUACGCGUAUCUGUCUGAAAGUAUCGUACGAAUAAGGAUCGGCUAACUCCGUGCCAGCAGCCGCGGUAAUACGGAGGAUUCAAGCGUUAUCCGGAUUUAUUGGGUUUAAAGGGUGCGUAGGCGGUCGGAUAAGUUAGAGGUGAAAUCCCGAGGCUCAACUUCGGAAUUGCCUCUGCUACUGUUCGGCUAGAGGGUAGUUGCGGUAGGCGGAAUGUAUGGUGUAGCGGUGAAAUGCUUAGCGUUCAUACAGAACACCGAUUGCGAAGGCAGCUUACCAAGCUACUUCUGCCGUUGAGGCACGAAAGCGUGGGGAGCAAACCGGAUUAGAUACCCUUGUAGUC